AAUGAACGCUGGCGGCGCGCCUAAUACAUGCAAGUCGAGCGAGAAGACGUAGCAAUACGUUUGUAAAGCGGCGAACGGGUGAGGAAUACAUGGGUAACCUACCCUCGAGUGGGGAAUAACUAGCCGAAAGGUUAGCUAAUACCGCGUACGCUCCUUGGACUUCGGUUCAGGGAGGAAAGCGAUACCGUGGGUAUCGCGCUCUUGGAUGGGCUCAUGUCCUAUCAGCUUGUUGGUGAGGUAACGGCUCACCAAGGCUUCGACGGGUAGCUGGUCUGAGAGGACGGAUCAGCCACACUGGCACUGCGACACGGGCCAGACUCCUACGGGAGGCAGCAGUAAGGAAUAUUGCGCAAUGGGCG
This 359-nucleotide ribosomal RNA is filed under the name uncultured bacterium. RNAcentral's name for it is "bacterial SSU rRNA". It matches the Rfam family "Bacterial small subunit ribosomal RNA", at positions 29 to 377 of the family's 1533-position model. The record is from RNAcentral.